CCAUGCAAGUCGAACGAUGAUCUCCAGCUUGCUGGGGGGAUUAGUGGCGAACGGGUGAGUAACACGUGAGUAACCUGCCCUUAACUCUGGGAUAAGCCUGGGAAACUGGGUCUAAUACCGGAUAUGACUCCUCAUCGCAUGGUGGGGGGUGGAAAGCUUUUUGUGGUUUUGGAUGGACUCGCGGCCUAUCAGCUUGUUGGUGAGGUAAUGGCUCACCAAGGCGACGACGGGUAGCCGGCCUGAGAGGGUGACCGGCCACACUGGGACUGAGACACGGCCCAGACUCCUACGGGAGGCAGCAGUGGGGAAUAUUGCACAAUGGGCGCAAGCCUGAUGCAGCGACGCCGCGUGAGGGAUGACGGCCUUCGGGUUGUAAACCUCUUUCAGUAGGGAAGAAGCGAAAGUGACGGUACCUGCAGAAGAAGCGCCGGCUAACUACGUGCCAGCAGCCGCGGUAAUACGUAGGGCGCAAGCGUUAUCCGGAAUUAUUGGGCGUAAAGAGCUCGUAGGCGGUUUGUCGCGUCUGCCGUGAAAGUCCGGGGCUCAACUCCGGAUCUGCGGUGGGUACGGGCAGACUAGAGUGAUGUAGGGGAGACUGGAAUUCCUGGUGUAGCGGUGAAAUGCGCAGAUAUCAGGAGGAACACCGAUGGCGAAGGCAGGUCUCUGGGCAUUAACUGACGCUGAGGAGCGAAAGCAUGGGGAGCGAACAGGAUUAGAUACCCUGGUAGUCCAUGCCGUAAACGUUGGGCACUAGGUGUGGGGGACAUUCCACGUUUUCCGCGCCGUAGCUAACGCAUUAAGUGCCCCGCCUGGGGAGUACGGCCGGCAACGCUAAAACUCAA
This 842-nucleotide ribosomal RNA is filed under the name Arthrobacter sp. B205-U5. RNAcentral's name for it is "bacterial SSU rRNA". It matches the Rfam family "Bacterial small subunit ribosomal RNA", at positions 53 to 904 of the family's 1533-position model. Lineage: Bacteria; Bacillati; Actinomycetota; Actinomycetes; Micrococcales; Micrococcaceae. The record is from RNAcentral.